CAGCAGCCACGGUAAUACGUAGGGCGCAAGCGUUAUCCGGAAUUAUUGGGCGUAAAGAGCUCGUAGGCGGUUUGUCGCGUCUGCCGUGAAAGUCCGGGGCUCAACCCCGGAUCUGCGGUGGGUACGGGCAGACUAGAGUGAUGUAGGGGAGACUGGAAUUCCUGGUGUAGCGGUGAAAUGCGCAGAUAUCAGGAGGAACACCGAUGGCGAAGGCAGGUCUCUGGGCAUUAACUGACGCUGAGGAGCGAAAGCAUGGGGAGCAAACAGGAUUAGAUACCCCCGUAGUCCCUGUCUCUUAUAC
This 301-nucleotide ribosomal RNA is filed under the name uncultured bacterium. RNAcentral describes it as "partial 16S ribosomal RNA". It matches the Rfam family "Bacterial small subunit ribosomal RNA", at positions 509 to 807 of the family's 1533-position model. The record is from RNAcentral.